This 318-nucleotide ribosomal RNA is filed under the name uncultured soil bacterium. Its description in RNAcentral is "bacterial SSU rRNA". It matches the Rfam family "Bacterial small subunit ribosomal RNA", at positions 26 to 371 of the family's 1533-position model. The record is from RNAcentral.
AGAACGAACGCUGGCGGCAUGCCUAAUACAUGCAAGUCGAACGAACUCUUCGGAGUUAGUGGCGCACGGGUGCGUAACGCGUGGGGAUCUGCCCUUGGGUUCGGAAUAACAGUUGGAAACGACUGCUAAUACCGGAUGAUGACGAAAGUCCAAAGAUUUAUCGCCCAGGGAUGAGCCCGCGUAGGAUUAGCUAGUUGGUGAGGUAAAGGCUCACCAAGGCGACGAUCCUUAGCUGGUCUGAGAGGAUGAUCAGCCACACUGGGACUGAGACACGGCCCAGACUCCUACGGGAGCAGCAGGUAGGGAAUAGUUGGACAA